This 337-nucleotide ribosomal RNA is filed under the name Myiopsitta monachus (monk parakeet). Its description in RNAcentral is "partial 12S ribosomal RNA". It matches the Rfam family "Bacterial small subunit ribosomal RNA", at positions 860 to 1353 of the family's 1533-position model. The record is from RNAcentral. Lineage: Eukaryota; Metazoa; Chordata; Aves; Psittaciformes; Psittacidae.
AUAAACAUCCGCCCGAGAACUACGAGCACAAACGCUUAAAACUCUAAGGACUUGGCGGUGCCCUAAACCCACCUAGAGGAGCCUGUUCUAUAAUCGACAACCCACGAUCCACCCAACCACUUCUAGCCAAAAUCAGCCUACAUACCGCCGUCGCCAGCCCACCUCCAUGAGAGAGCAGCAGUGGACACAACAGCCCACACCCCGCUAACAAGACAGGUCAAGGUAUAGCCCAUGAAGUGGAAGAAAUGGGCUACAUUUUCUAAAAUAGAAUAAACCAACGAAAAGAGGCUUGAAAUUUGCCUCUAGAAGGUGGAUUUAGCAGUAAAGCAGGACAAUC